Molecule: long non-coding RNA, 245 nt
Organism: Pocillopora damicornis (cauliflower coral)
Lineage: Eukaryota; Metazoa; Cnidaria; Anthozoa; Scleractinia; Pocilloporidae
Source: RefSeq, a predicted model, not a curated record
GGUGGUCCACCAAAUUGUAUCGGAAAAACAGUAAAUUCUGAACGAAUGCAAAAAAUAAUCCUGGUCUGCAAGAAUCCCGACGAUGACAAAACAACAAACACAACACAGACCCAAGUGAAUUCAAAGGAAACCUGGAACGAGGGAACGUAGUUGAUAAUGAUGCAUAAAUGAAUCAAAUUAACUGGAGAAAGUACAAACGGGAUAUCUGUCGCGUCAUACUGCAUCCUUGGCUUACAAAGGAGAAU